Molecule: long non-coding RNA, 752 nt
Organism: Oncorhynchus tshawytscha (Chinook salmon)
Lineage: Eukaryota; Metazoa; Chordata; Actinopteri; Salmoniformes; Salmonidae
Source: Ensembl
UGAAGCUACAAUAGAAGCUGACAGGUUGAAGCUACAAUAGAAGCUGACAGGUUGAAGCUACAAUAGAAGCUGACAGGUUGAAGCUACAGAUUGAAGCUACGAUAGAAGCUGACAGGUUGAAGCUACGAUAGAAGCUGACAGGUUGAAGCUUCAAUAGAAGCUGACAGGUUGAAGCUACAAUAGAAGCUGACAGGUUGAAGCUACAAUAGAAGCUGACAGGUUGAAGCUACAAUAGAAGCUGACAGGUUGAAGCUACGAUAGAAGCUGACAGGUUGAAGCUACGAUAGAAGCUGACAGGUUGAAGCUACAAUAGAAGCUGACAGGUUGAAGCUACAAUAGAAGCUGACAGGUUGAAGCUACAAUAGAAGCUGACAGGUUGAAGCUACAAUAGAAGCUGACAGGUUGAAGCUACAAUAGAAGCUGACAGGUUGAAGCUACAAUAGAAGCUGAAGCUGACAGGUUGAAGCUACAAUAGAAGCUGAAAGGUUGAAGCUACAAUAGAAGCUGACAGGUUGAAGCUACAAUAGAAGCUGACAGGUUGAAGCUACAAUAGAAGCUGACAGGUUGAAGCUACAAUAGAAGCUGACAGGUUGAAGCUACGAUAGAAGCUGACAGGUUGAAGCUACGAUAGAAGCUGACAGGUUGAAGCUACAAUAGAAGCUGACAGGUUGAAGCUACAAUAGAAGCUGACAGGUUGAAGCUACGAUAGAAGCUGACAGGUUGAAGCUACAAUAGAAGCUGACAGGUUGAAG